GACGUAGGGGGCGAGCGUUGUCCGGAAUUACUGGGCGUAAAGAGCACGUAGGCGGGUAUUUAAGUCAGGUGUGAAAGACCGCAGCUUAACUGCGGGAUUGCAUUUGAAACUGGGUAUCUUGAGGGCAGGAGAGGUCAGUGGAAUUCCAGGUGUAGCGGUGAAAUGCGUAGAAAUCUGGAGGAACACCAGUGGCGAAGGCGGCUGACUGGACUGACCCUGACGCUGAGGUGCGAAAGCGUGGGUAGCAAAC
RNAcentral lists this ribosomal RNA (250 nucleotides) under uncultured bacterium. RNAcentral describes it as "partial 16S ribosomal RNA". It matches the Rfam family "Bacterial small subunit ribosomal RNA", at positions 524 to 773 of the family's 1533-position model. The record is from RNAcentral.